CAUGUCCCACUAGGAGGAGGCCCAGAGGAAGACUCAGGACACACUGGAGGGACUACGUUUCUCUGCCUGGGAACACUUUGGGAUUCUCCCCAAAGGAGCUGGUCCAAGUGGCUGGGGAGAGGGAAGUCCUGGUCUCUCUGCUUAGGCUGCUGCCCCCAAGACUUGACCCCAGAUAAGAAGAAGAAAACGGAUGGAUGGCUGUUCACUGCUGCCAGGACAUUCCAAUAACAUCUUACACUUGUGUAGAAACAACACUGUGUAUAAAUCUGAAAUACUGUAUGUGUAAGCAAGUUUGGCUGCCAUCUGCUGGAAGAUCAAAG
This is a long non-coding RNA of Austrofundulus limnaeus, 320 nucleotides long. RefSeq lists it as uncharacterized. The record is from RefSeq and is a predicted model, not a curated record. The transcript is spliced from 2 exons. NCBI's taxonomy places the organism in Eukaryota, Metazoa, Chordata, Actinopteri, Cyprinodontiformes, Rivulidae.